This 253-nucleotide ribosomal RNA is filed under the name uncultured bacterium. RNAcentral's name for it is "partial 16S ribosomal RNA". It matches the Rfam family "Bacterial small subunit ribosomal RNA", at positions 524 to 776 of the family's 1533-position model. The record is from RNAcentral.
UACGGAGGAUGCAAGCGUUAUCCGGAAUUAUUGGGAGUAAAGAGCUCGUAGGCGGUCUGUCACGUCGGCUGUGAAAUCCCGAGGCUCAACCUCGGGUCUGCAGUCGAUACGGGCAAACUAGAGUAUUGCAGGGGAGACUGGAAUUCCUGGUGUAGAGGUGAAAUGCGCAGAUAUCAGGAGGAACACCGGUGGCGAAGGCGGGUCUCUGGGCAAUAACUGACGCUGAGGAGCGAAAGCGUGGGGAGCGAACAGG